ACAUCUAGCGGCUCCAUGUCACAAUCACACAUAAACAGACUCACACAGUGCAAAUAAUCUUCUUACUGAUCACAAGGUUCCAUGUUGAAACAGAGCAAAGUUCACACCGUCACCUCUGCUGGGUUUUCCUCCAAUCAGAGACGUCGUUGGUCGUUUCUCUCUGUUGAAUCGCAGCCUGAAUGAUCCGUCAUGACCCACUGACACUGAUUUAAUUUAUCCUUUUGGGCUCUUAAAGUUCUGUGACCGCCGUCUCUGAAGCUUCGUCUUUGACCUCCACUUGGAUUCAGACUCCAGGAGGGUGUUUAACCUCAGAGAGGACGACUGUCAGGACGAUUCUGCUGCAGCUGCUGAUCACAUCUGGCAGCCGUCUGCAUGUCGUUUCAACUCACCGUCACUGACAUCAGAGGAACCUGUUCUUGAUGGGUUUAAGUCAAGACUUUUCUAGAAGCAGGAUGGAAAUUCUGAGUGGACCUUUGGCAGAUCUGGCUCUGUUCCUGCGACAAACCAUCACAUCAUCAGACGGACAGCAGGACAGUUUACUUCCUGUUGGGCUGUUUGGUCUGCUGUUUCUGUCCGUCUGCCUUCUGCUGCUGCAGCUGAUCAUCUACUUCAGCUGGAGACUCGCACAGGCUGAAUCUGAUCUGUCCGAGCAUCAACAGCACAGAAACCCCAUCUACAGGCCGCCGAGCAGAAGCACUCGGCUGAGGAGGAUGAGGAGCGUCGGAGUUCAUUCAGGCUCCUGAAGGGACAAAGACUUGAACUUCAAGACCAGAAGAAGCUGCAGAGAAAGCAGCCGCUGCGUCCUGAACACCGAGAUCCAUAAAAACUCCAUCAGUCAGGAUUCAUGACGCGAUCGGAAAGAAAAACCUGAACUGUGACUGAAGCUGUGAAAACAUCUGGAUGUUGAACGUUUCGGAUUCUUUGGGGAAUCUGGAUAAAACAUCUGCUGCUGAUGCGUUUUCAACAUCUGGAUGAAUCAAAGCAUCUUUUACUGAUGUAUUUAUUUCUGCCUAAGCUGGAGAAUUCAUGUUUUUAUGUUGUUUUACACAAUAAAAUACAGAGAUUAAAACAA
Molecule: long non-coding RNA, 1072 nt
Organism: Acanthochromis polyacanthus (spiny chromis)
Lineage: Eukaryota; Metazoa; Chordata; Actinopteri; Pomacentridae
Exons: 3
Source: RefSeq, a predicted model, not a curated record